AUUGAUCGCUGGCGGCAGGCUUAACACAUGCAAGUCGAGCGGGGGAAGGUAGCUUGCUACCGGACCUAGCGGCGGACGGGUGAGUAAUGCUUAGGAAUCUGCCUAUUAGUGGGGGACAACAUCUCGAAAGGGAUGCUAAUACCGCAUACGUCCUACGGGAGAAAGCAGGGGAUCUUCGGACCUUGCGCUAAUAGAUGAGCCUAAGUCGGAUUAGCUAGUUGGUGGGGUAAAGGCCUACCAAGGCGACGAUCUGUAGCGGGUCUGAGAGGAUGAUCCGCCACACUGGGACUGAGACACGGCCCAGACUCCUACGGGAGGCAGCAGUGGGGAAUAUUGGAAAAUGGGGGGAACCCUGAUCCAGCCAUGCCGCGUGUGUGAAGAAGGCCUUAUGGUUGUAAAGCACUUUAAGCGAGGAGGAGGCUACUUUAGUUAAUACCUAGAGAUAGUGGACGUUACUCGCAGAAUAAGCACCGGCUAACUCUGUGCCAGCCGCCGCAGUAA
RNAcentral lists this ribosomal RNA (501 nucleotides) under uncultured bacterium. RNAcentral describes it as "partial 16S ribosomal RNA". It matches the Rfam family "Bacterial small subunit ribosomal RNA", at positions 30 to 523 of the family's 1533-position model. The record is from RNAcentral.